RNAcentral lists this unclassified non-coding RNA (402 nucleotides) under soil metagenome. Its description in RNAcentral is "partial contains 5.8S ribosomal RNA, internal transcribed spacer 2, and large subunit ribosomal RNA". The stretch from base 1 to 121 matches the Rfam family "5.8S ribosomal RNA", at positions 35 to 154 of the family's 154-position model. The record is from RNAcentral.
GAUGAAGAACGUAGCGAAAUGCGAUAAGUAAUGUGAAUUGCAGAAUUCAGUGAAUCAUCGAAUCUUUGAACGCACCUUGCGCCCUUUGGCUAUUCCGAAGGGCAUGCCUGUUUGAGUAUCGUGAACACCUCAACUCUCAUGGUUUGCCAUGAUGAGCUUGGACUUUGGGGGAUUUGCUGGCCUUUGGUCGGCUCCUCUCAAACGGAUCAGCUUUCCAGUGUUUGGUGGUAUCACGGGUGUGAUAACUAUCUACGCCUGUGGUUUUCUGCCAGAUAACCUUCAGCGAUGGAGGUUCGCUGGGGCUCAUAAAUGUCUCUCUUCAGUGGAGACAGCUUUUUGGACGUUUGAUCUCAAAUCAGGUAGGACUACCCGCUGAACUUAAGCAUAUCAAUAAGCGGAGGA